UGGUGGAGUGAUUUGUCUGGUUAAUUCCGUUAACGAACGAGACCUCGACCUGCUAAAUAGUACCGACAACUCUCGAGUUGGUUCGGGCACUUCUUAGAGGGACUAUCGGUGUUUCCUAGCCGAUGGAAGUUCGAGGCAAUAACA
Molecule: ribosomal RNA, 144 nt
Filed under: uncultured eukaryote
Lineage: Eukaryota
Description: partial 18S ribosomal RNA
Rfam family: Eukaryotic small subunit ribosomal RNA
Source: RNAcentral